RNAcentral lists this transfer-messenger RNA (367 nucleotides) under Fructilactobacillus lindneri. RNAcentral describes it as "Standard tmRNA". It matches the Rfam family "transfer-messenger RNA". Rfam says of the family: Bacterial tmRNA, also known as 10Sa RNA or SsrA, is named for its dual tRNA and mRNA-like properties. Its role is to liberate the mRNA from a stalled ribosome. Lineage: Bacteria; Bacillati; Bacillota; Bacilli; Lactobacillales; Lactobacillaceae. The record is from RNAcentral. RNAcentral also lists the same sequence under 1 other name.
GGGGUCGUUAUGGAUUCGACGGGUAUGGUUCGUGCCUGAACUGCAUUUCGUACUGCGAUGCGUUAAAUCGUCCAGUUCAUUAUAACUGCAAAAAAUAAUAACAAUUCUUACGCCUUAGCUGCCUAAAAACAGUCGACGUAGAUCCAUCUAAUCUCGUCCAUGGAUUAGUAAUGGGUCCUAACUUAAGUGGACUCACGCUCCUCUGCCCACAUCUGAGGUAGAGAGAAGAGAUUAAUCAGAUUAGCUUUUCAUAUUAGCCUUGAUUAAUGGCGUCAUGAAAAGUGAACUUUAAAUAAUUGAUCUAUAAAUGUAGACGUUCAGGUGGCGACAUACUCGGACGCGGGUUCAAAUCCCGCCGACUCCAUUU